Cavia porcellus (domestic guinea pig) is the source of this 1571-nucleotide long non-coding RNA. RefSeq lists it as uncharacterized. The transcript has 2 exons. The record is from RefSeq and is a predicted model, not a curated record. NCBI's taxonomy places the organism in Eukaryota, Metazoa, Chordata, Mammalia, Rodentia, Caviidae.
UGUUACUUUAUUCUGUCCUUUGUAAGAAGGCUGCUUGCAAAACACAGCCGAGGAAGAACCAAAGGGCUGGGCCACAGCAAAGGAAGAAACAAAGCCCAAGUGAGGUCCUCUGCCUGGGCCGCUGCUGGUUAUCCCGAGGCGGGCCCUCCGGAAUCCAGCUCUAAGGAAACUGGAAAGGGCCUGGGGUCAGACUGGUGUGUCUGAUGGUCCUUUCUUUCAUAGCAUUAGCAAUAAAACGUAGAGAUUAGGGAACCCUAGUGAUGCAUGUCAAAGGCUUCUUUUUAUGCCAAACAAGUAAAAUACAAUCUGCCCACUCACCCUGUCACACAGCUGCAGGACUAGAGCUGGACUUAUCCUAGGCAUUUCUGCAAAAUUCUGUUCACAGCACAAAAUUACAAUUUACCCUAAGGUAUUAACCUUUCAGGUUAUGUUAAAAAUAUAUGGUCUUUCGGUUACCCUGCCCUAUCCCCUGAAAAAGUAUAUGGUCCAGCCAGGCCGUGGCCAGGUGGCACAUCCCUGUAAUCCCAGCACUUUUGAGGCAGAGACAGGAAGAUCACUGUGAACGUGAGGCCAGCAUGGGCUGCAGAAUGAGUGGACGGCCAGCCUGAACUGUGUAGUAAGACCUUGUCUAAAAAAAAAAAAGUAUAUGAUCUUGUAUAAAUGUCAAAUUUUGAAACAAUGAAUAUUUUUCUGAACCAGUUAAAGUUGAAAGAAUUCCUCUGAGCAGCUUAGAUGCCCAGGAGAACACCCGCAGAAGCCAUGUUGCUGUGGGAAUGCACAAGGUUCACCAGUCCAGAGAGGGCACUACAGGGCAUGUGCAGCUGUUACCUGGCUGGCUGUCCUCGCCCACCUGUGCUGCGCUCAGAGUGGACACCGUGUUUACUAGAAUACCUGGGCCUGGGAACCACAUGAAGGAAAGAAAGUUCUUACGGUGCCUGGAGGCUGGAAGGCCUAGUGGAAGGGCUGCGUGAGUCCUGCACACAGGAGACAAAGCCAAGCUGGCCCUGCAACAGAUCCUCUGUUCCUCCCCUGGUCCAUGAAUGAGCGAGGUCACUCCAGAGAACACCGCCCUCAGACCCCUGGACCCCACCUCUCAGUCCCUCAUAGGGGGGAUCAGACUUCAGCCUGAGUUUGGGGGGGCGUUCGCGCCACAGCACCUGAGCUCACUCUAAAACCCUGCGGAGAAAACCUGCCUGUGAAACCUUGAAUUCCCGUGGAAGACAAAUGAGGGACAAACAGGACUGUUUGAUGCAGGAGUCUGCAUCUCCUGGGCUCUGCAAAUGAUUAAAUUGAUUCAAAUAUGACUGACACUGAGCUGUGUGGUUUGGGCACCAAUUAAUAAAUUCUGAUAAAGUUGGCAGAAGAGGGCUUUGAGUUAAGUAGAAGGAAACAAAGAAGAAAACCCAGCUCUUGUACUUUCUGCUUUAAACUGUCGGGGAGCACAUAGAUCAGUUCUCCCAGGACUUAUUACAAAGACUCAGAGGAUGUUAAAUCCACUGGGAAGAGCCAGGAGCGCUGUGUGUUGCAGGGAAAUGUGACUUAGUCAAUAAAGGAACAGUAGAUCCUUUUAA